This 373-nucleotide ribosomal RNA is filed under the name uncultured bacterium. Its description in RNAcentral is "bacterial SSU rRNA". It matches the Rfam family "Bacterial small subunit ribosomal RNA", at positions 30 to 405 of the family's 1533-position model. The record is from RNAcentral.
AUUGAACGCUGGCGGCAUGCCUUACACAUGCAAGUCGAACGGCAGCACGGGAGCAAUCCUGGUGGCGAGUGGCGAACGGGUGAGUAAUAUAUCGGAACGUGCCCAGUCGUGGGGAUAACGUAGCGAAAGCUACGCUAAUACCGCAUACGAUCUAUGGAUGAAAGCGGGGGAUCGCAAGACCUCGCGCGAUUGGAGCGGCCGAUAUCAGAUUAGGUAGUUGGUGAGGUAAAGGCUCACCAAGCCGACGAUCCGUAGCUGGUCUGAGAGGACGACCAGCCACACUGGGACUGAGACACGGCCCAGACUCCUACGGGAGCAGCAGUGGGAAUUUUGGACAAUGGGCGCAAGGCCUGAUCCAGCAAUGCCGCGUGCA